This 1028-nucleotide ribosomal RNA is filed under the name Raghukumaria keshaphalae. RNAcentral describes it as "SSU rRNA". It matches the Rfam family "Eukaryotic small subunit ribosomal RNA", at positions 57 to 1101 of the family's 1831-position model. The record is from RNAcentral. Lineage: Eukaryota; Fungi; Ascomycota; Dothideomycetes; Pleosporales.
AUCUAGUAUAGCAUUAUAUCGUGAAACUGCGAAUGGCUCAUUAAAUCAGUUAUCGUUUAUUUGAUGGUACCUUACUACAUGGAUAACCGUGGUAAUUCUAGAGCUAAUACAUGCUGAAAACUCCGACUUCGGGAGGAGGGUGUUUAUUAGAUUCAAAGCCAAUGCCCUCCGGGGCUCUGUGCUGAUUCAUAAUAACCUGUCAGAUCGCAUGGCCUUGCGCCAGCGACGGAUCAUUCAAAUUUCUGCCCUAUCAACUUUCGAUGGCACGGUAGUGGCCUGCCAUGGUUUCAACGGGUACGGGCGUUAAGGGAUGGACGCCGGAGAGGUAGCCGGAGGAACGGCUUCCACAUCCAAGGAAGGCAGCAGGCGCGCAAAUUACCCAAUGGCGACACGCCGAGGUAGCGACAAGAAAUACCGAUACGGAGCUCUUUUGGGUUUUGUAAUUGGAAUGAGUACAAUUUAAACCUCUUAACGAGGAACAAUUGGAGGGCAAGUCUGGUGCCAGCAGCCGCGGUAAUUCCAGCUCCAAUAGCGUAUAUUAAUGUUGUUGCAGUUAAAAAGCUCGUAGUUGAACCUUUGGCCUGGCUGGCAGGUCCGCCUCACCGCGUGCACUUGUCCGGCCGGGCCUUCUCUUCUGGAGAACCGCAUGCGCUUCACUGCGUGUGCUGGGGACCAGGACUUUUACUUUGAAAAAAUUAGAGUGUUCAAAGCAGGCCUUUGCUCGAAUCCGUUAGCAUGGAAUAAUAGAAUAGGACGGCGAUCCUAUUUUGUUGGUUUCUGGGACCGCCGUAAUGAUUAAUAGGGCCAGUCGGGGGCAUCCGUAUUCAAUUGUCAGAGGUGAAAUUCUUGGAUCAAUUGAAGACGAACUACUGCGAAAGCAUUUGCCAAGGAUGUUUUCAUUAAUCAGUGAACGAAAGUUAGGGGAUCGAAGACGAUCAGAUACCGUCGUAGUCUUAACCAUAAACUAUGCCGACUAGGGAUCGGGCGUGUUUCUAUUGUGACUCGCUCGGCACCUUACGAGAAAUCAA